Molecule: ribosomal RNA, 433 nt
Filed under: uncultured bacterium
Lineage: Bacteria
Description: partial 16S ribosomal RNA
Rfam family: Bacterial small subunit ribosomal RNA
Source: RNAcentral
AACGAACGCUGGCGGCAUGCCUAACACAUGCAAGUCGAACGAGACCUUCGGGUCUAGUGGCGCACGGGUUCGUAACGCGUGGGAACCUGCCCUUAGGUUCGGAAUAACUCCCCGAAAGGGGUGCUAAUACCGGAUAAUGUCUUCGGACCAAAGAUUUAUCGCCUUUGGAUGGGCCCGCGUUGGAUUAGCUAGUUGGUAGGGUAAAAGCCUACCAAGGCGACGAUCCAUAGCUGGUCUGAGAGGAUGAUCAGCCACACUGGGACUGAGACACGGCCCAGACUCCUACGGGAGGCAGCAGUAGGGAAUAUUGGACAAUGGGCGAAAGCCUGAUCCAGCAAUGCCGCGUGAGUGAUGAAGGCCUUAGGGUUGUAAAGCUCUUUUACCCGGGAUGAUAAUGACAGUACCGGGAGAAUAAGCUCCGGCUAACUCCGUG